Molecule: ribosomal RNA, 178 nt
Filed under: uncultured Azospira sp.
Lineage: Bacteria; Pseudomonadati; Pseudomonadota; Betaproteobacteria; Rhodocyclales; Rhodocyclaceae
Description: partial 16S ribosomal RNA
Rfam family: Bacterial small subunit ribosomal RNA
Source: RNAcentral
UGGGGAAUUUUGGACAAUGGGGGCAACCCUGAUCCAGCCAUGCCGCGUGAGUGAAGAAGGCCUUCGGGUUGUAAAGCUCUUUCGGCGGGGAAGAAAUGGCAACGGCUAAUAUCCGUUGUUGAUGACGGUACCCGCAUAAGAAGCACCGGCUAACUACGUGCCAGCAGCCGCGGUAAUU